AGCGAACGCUGGCGGCAGGCCUAACACAUGCAAGUCGAACGAACUCUUCGGAGUUAGUGGCGGACGGGUGAGUAACACGUGGGAACGUGCCUUUUGGUUCGGAAUAACUCAGGGAAACUUGUGCUAAUACCGAAUGUGCCCUUCGGGGGAAAGAUUUAUCGCCAUUAGAGCGGCCCGCGUCUGAUUAGCUAGUUGGUGAGGUAACGGCUCACCAAGGCGACGAUCAGUAGCUGGUCUGAGAGGAUGACCAGCGACACUGGGACUGAGACACGGCCCAGACUCCUACGGGAGGCAGCAGUGGGGAAUCUUGCGCAAUGGGCGAAAGCCUGACGCAGCCAUGCCGCGUGAAUGAUGAAGGUCUUAGGAUUGUAAAAUUCUUUCACCGGGGAAGAUAAUGACGGUACCCGGAGAAGAAGCCCCGGCUAACUUCGUG
RNAcentral lists this ribosomal RNA (433 nucleotides) under uncultured bacterium. RNAcentral describes it as "partial 16S ribosomal RNA". It matches the Rfam family "Bacterial small subunit ribosomal RNA", at positions 29 to 507 of the family's 1533-position model. The record is from RNAcentral.